Hevea brasiliensis (rubber tree) is the source of this 392-nucleotide long non-coding RNA. RefSeq lists it as uncharacterized. The record is from RefSeq and is a predicted model, not a curated record. NCBI's taxonomy places the organism in Eukaryota, Viridiplantae, Streptophyta, Magnoliopsida, Malpighiales, Euphorbiaceae. The transcript is spliced from 3 exons.
GACCGACGGCUGGCCACCGUGCGCGAUGGUUCUGGCGGUGGCUCCGGUGGGCUAUGGAGAUGAUUCAACUUCCAGAGGCUUCCUCAUAAAUUUUUGGAAUUUUUGAGACACAGAUAAACUUCGGGUGAUCGAGGUCAGCUAUUUUUCUACAUCCAGCAGCCACAAUAGUCAUCGGUGUACUGCCACAGGAGGAGUUAUUUUACAGAGCAACCUGUUUUCUUCCUCGCAGGUUUAACGUCGAUUAUUUAAUUGUUUUACUAUCUUUUCUAAAUUUAAAAUCUAGAACUCCGCAUGUGUUAGAAAUAGUGUGGACCUUGGUAGAGGUUGCGUUAAUUUAAAUUUUUGAGAUUAAUAAAUAAAGAAGAUUUGUAUGGUAUUUAAACAGUUUGUAA